Molecule: microRNA, 23 nt
Filed under: Gallus gallus (chicken)
Lineage: Eukaryota; Metazoa; Chordata; Aves; Galliformes; Phasianidae
Description: gga-miR-1659
Source: miRBase by way of RNAcentral
UAGGGCAGAAUGAAGGAGUCCCU